CGCGUAGGCGGUCCGGUAAGUCCGCUCUGAAAGUCCGGGGCUCAACCCCGGGAGGCGGGCGGAUACUGCCGGGCUAGAGUCCGGAAGAGGCGAGUGGAAUUCCUGGUGUAGCGGUGAAAUGCGCAGAUAUCGUCUGGAACGCCAAAGGUGAAAACAGGUCGCUGGGGCUGUGCUGACGCUGAGACACGAAAGCCAGGGGAGCGAACG
This 207-nucleotide ribosomal RNA is filed under the name uncultured bacterium. Its description in RNAcentral is "partial 16S ribosomal RNA". It matches the Rfam family "Bacterial small subunit ribosomal RNA", at positions 568 to 774 of the family's 1533-position model. The record is from RNAcentral.